This 225-nucleotide ribosomal RNA is filed under the name uncultured Alkalibacter sp. RNAcentral's name for it is "partial 16S ribosomal RNA". It matches the Rfam family "Bacterial small subunit ribosomal RNA", at positions 568 to 792 of the family's 1533-position model. The record is from RNAcentral. Lineage: Bacteria; Bacillati; Bacillota; Clostridia; Eubacteriales; Eubacteriaceae.
CGUGUAGGCGGUAUCAUAAGUCAGAUGUGAAAGUUCGGGGCUUAACCCCGGAAUUGCAUUUGAAACUGUAAUACUUGAGUACUGGAGAGGUAAGUGGAAUUCCUAGUGUAGCGGUGAAAUGCGUAGAUAUUAGGAGGAACACCAGUGGCGAAGGCGACUUACUGGACAGAUACUGACGCUGAGGCGCGAAAGCGUGGGGAGCAAACAGGAUUAGAUACCCCAGUA